RNAcentral lists this ribosomal RNA (302 nucleotides) under uncultured bacterium. RNAcentral describes it as "partial 16S ribosomal RNA". It matches the Rfam family "Bacterial small subunit ribosomal RNA", at positions 508 to 809 of the family's 1533-position model. The record is from RNAcentral.
GCAGCAGCCGCGGUAAAACGAAGGGUGCAAGCGUUAAUCGGAAUUACUGGGCGUAAAGCGUGCGUAGGCGGUUUGUUAAGUCUGUUGUGAAAUCCCCGGGCUCAACCUGGGAAUGGCAAUGGAUACUGGCAAGCUAGAGUGUGUCAGAGGAUGGUGGAAUUCCCGGUGUAGCGGUGAAAUGCGUAGAGAUCGGGAGGAACAUCAGUGGCGAAGGCGGCCAUCUGGGACAACACUGACGCUGAGGCACGAAAGCGUGGGGAGCAAGCAGGAUUAGAUACCCGCGUAGUCCCUGUCUCUUAUAA